RNAcentral lists this unclassified non-coding RNA (372 nucleotides) under soil metagenome. RNAcentral's name for it is "partial contains 5.8S ribosomal RNA, internal transcribed spacer 2, and large subunit ribosomal RNA". The stretch from base 1 to 120 matches the Rfam family "5.8S ribosomal RNA", at positions 35 to 154 of the family's 154-position model. The record is from RNAcentral.
GAUGAAGAACGCAGCGAAAUGCGAUAAGUAAUGUGAAUUGCAGAAUUCAGUGAAUCAUCGAAUCUUUGAACGCACAUUGCGCCCCUUGGUAUUCCGGGGGGCAUGCCUGUUCGAGCGUCAUUAUAACCCCUCAAGCCCUCGGCUUGGUGUUGGACGGUUUGGUGGAGGCCCCCUCGGGGGCUCCUGCCCCUCCCAAAGACAAUGACGGCGGCCUCGUUGGACCCCCGGUACACUGAGUUCUUCACGGGACACGUAUCGGACACAUGGGUUUACGGGACACGGUCUGCCUCCCCUCAGGGAGAAUCUUUCUAAGGUUGACCUCGGAUCAGGUAGGGAUACCCGCUGAACUUAAGCAUAUCAAUAAGCGGAGGA